RNAcentral lists this unclassified non-coding RNA (211 nucleotides) under plant metagenome. Its description in RNAcentral is "partial contains small subunit ribosomal RNA, internal transcribed spacer 1, and 5.8S ribosomal RNA". The record is from RNAcentral.
UUUCCGUAGGUGAACCUGCGGAAGGAUCAUUAAUAAUAAGUGUUCUACUGCACUUUUUAAAAUAGUACUCACCUUGUGUGCAAUGUUUGUUGGACUCUUUCGUGAGUCUGACAUUUAUACCAACCUUUUAUAUUAUGAACCACUUUGUCUGAGAAAUAUUAUGAAUACUUAACUCUAAAUACAACUUUCAACAACGGAUCUCUUGGCUCUG